Molecule: ribosomal RNA, 274 nt
Filed under: uncultured bacterium
Lineage: Bacteria
Description: partial 16S ribosomal RNA
Rfam family: Bacterial small subunit ribosomal RNA
Source: RNAcentral
CUAAGUUUGAUGGCGACCGGCGCACGGGUGAGUAACACGUAUCCAACCUGCCGAUGACUCGGGGAUAGCCUUUCGAAGAAAGAUUAAUACCCGAUGGCAUAGUUCUUCCGCAUGGUGGAACUAUUAAAGAAUUUCGGUCAUCGAUGGGGAUGCGUUCCAUUAGGUUGUUGGCGGGGUAACGGCCCACCAAGCCUUCGAUGGAUAGGGGUUCUGAGAGGAAGGUCCCCCACAUUGGAACUGAGACACGGUCCAAACUCCUACGGGAGGCAGCAUG